RNAcentral lists this ribosomal RNA (461 nucleotides) under uncultured bacterium. RNAcentral describes it as "partial 16S ribosomal RNA". It matches the Rfam family "Bacterial small subunit ribosomal RNA", at positions 338 to 795 of the family's 1533-position model. The record is from RNAcentral.
CCUACGGGUGGCAGCAGUGAGGAAUAUUGGUCAAUGGCCGUAAGGCUGAACCAGCCAAGUCGCGUGAAGGAAGAAGGCUCUAUGGUUUGUAAACUUCUUUUGUGCGGGAGCAAUAAUGUUCACGUGUGGCCAGACGAGAGUACCCUGCGAAUAAGCAUCGGCUAACUCCGUGCCAGCAGCCGCGGUAAUACGGGGGAUGCAAGCGUUAUCCGGGUUUAUUGGGGUUAAAGGGUGCGUAUGCUGGGAGGUAAGUCCGCGGGGAAAUGCCCCCGCUCAACGGGGGGAAGUGCCAUUGAUACUGCCGUGCUGGAAUGCGGAUGCCGUGGGAGGAAUGUGUGGUGUAGCGGUGAAAUGCAUAGAUAUCACACAGAACACCGAUUGCGAAGGCAUCUCACGAAGCCGCGAUUGACGCUGAUGCACGAAAGCGUGGGUAUCAAACAGGAUUAGAUACCCCUGUAGUC